UUAAUAUCCUCUGUAUCACCUUUUGGAAAUUUCCCCCAUUGAAACGUAAAACCCCACAAAAACCCUUGAGAAUCCCCUUUUUUCUCCAAAAUCCCAACCUAACAUUGAACUCUUGCUUUGUCUUGUCCAAAAUGGCGUUUCGCUUUAGAUCUGUCUCAAAACCAACAUUCUCUAUCCUCAAAUCUACCAUUAACAAGCCAACCCUUAAGCCCAACUCCGCCGCUACUUUCUUUCCCGCUCGCUCUUCUCCCACACUUUCAAGGUCGGUUUCUCAAUUGGGUUGUCUUCAAUCUCUGCUGCCUCUCCACUCAGCGGUGUCCUCAGCUCGGCUGACGUCGUGUCUGGGAAUCGAUUCAAGGAGCUCGAGGUCUUUGUCUCAGGGUAUGCUUUGCAGUGCAAAUCCAGGGGUUUGAUAAUCUCCAAAACGUUUGGGUAGAUACAAACAAAGACACAACCUGAGUUGGAGAGCUUGCACAUGGUUUGAGAAGAACUCGGUCUUGGUGUGCCUCGAUAACAUAUCAAAAGUGGAAGGAAGUGAGGCAUGAUGGAUUAGGUCAUUGCUUUCCUUCUUGUGUGUCCAUUGGGAGAUUUAGUUUAUUUGACAAGUAUGUCCUUUUCGUUAUUGUUUGAAGUAAAUUUUGAAAGUCCUGGAUAAUGGACACAACAGACACUGCAAGAAUUCUAUUCCCUGAUUCUCCCAAUUAUGGAAAUUUUCUCUCUAGAUUUCAAUCUUCUUCCAAGGAUUCUUUGAUCUUGUUACUUUAAAGAAUAAAAUCGCUUUGCCAUUUAUUCAACUUCUUUCUUGGUUUAAAGUUAUGGUGGAUUUAAUGAAUUUAUUGAUUCCAAUCACUUAACCGUGUCGUUUUGUUUAAAUAAAUUCAUAUUGGGGUAAUGAAAAAUGAAAGCAAUGAAUGGGUGCAUGAUUUCAUUUUCUGUUCUUAUCCUAUUCUGCUGGUAAAAGAUUCCUGAUUGCCUUUAAGUUCAUUUUCAGUCCUUAGCAUCAUGUGUAAAUCCCUGAUAGGAGAUACAAACUUCGAUCCUACCUGAAAGGGUAAGUCUUCCCCUUUCUGGGUUUGAUGUAAAUCCUUGUUCACUUUUCUUAAGUAGGUAAGAUUUAGAAGGAACUUUAAGUUCGAAAGAAAGCCAUGUUCUUUUGAUUACUUUAUUUGUCUUCCUAAUCAACAAGAAGUGCACGUGAGAAACUAGAUAGGGAUGAGAUGGUGUCCCCGUGUCUCCCAUUUCUUUGAAAGUUGCCUUGGCUAUGGCGCCAUGUCUCCACCCCUAAGUCAGAACAUUAGCAUGUGGGGGCUCUCCCUUUCGAUCUCCCAAAGACCUUAGCAUUGUACUUUUUUUUUCUUUUUGUUGCUAUUUCCGCAUGUAGACGUAUUUGUAAAAACGACCAUGUGCUUUCAUCCAUGCACGUUCAAACCCAGUACAGUAGCCAUCACAGAGGAAGAAAUUGGAUAAUGUUUUGCAUGUUGCAUGGUCGAACCGUCCCCCUCUCUGAUUAUCCUUUUUCUUUCCUGCCUGGUUCCAAACAAUCGACAAGAAAUGAAAGCCAGCUGAAUUCACUGUGGUCAGUAAAGAAAUCCCCACUCUCAGCUCCUCAAAAUCUUCCUCCAUGUGGCCCUGAUCAUGUUCGAUCCCUUGGAGUAAGCUUUUAAGGCAAUCAUAGUUUAAGUUAAAAAAUGACAGUUUAUUCGAUAAAGAAAUUAGAUUAAGAUAAAAUCUAGAGACAUCCCUGAUCGUAUGAGAGAUAUUGGGAUCGGAAUUACUGCCAUAAUCUUUUAUCACACUUGAUUUUCUUUAUUUACCACAAAAAGGGCGAUGAACUUGGUUCAAUGGUAGAGUCAUUGGAUCCUCCAUGUCAGUCAGGGCAACAGAGAAAAGUUUAAUAUCUCAAAUGAAGGGGGAGCUGCCAAUUGCCGAGUCAUCGACAGCAGAAGUGGUUGCGAAAAUAGGACCUCUUCUUUACAAAUGAACAUGGAGAAUUAACCGCUAUACAUGAACGCCCAUCAUUCAAAGCCUUCUGGAAUUUUUUAAAGUCAUUAUAAUAUAGGGUCAUUCAUGAGAUUAACUUUAUUGCAUUUUGCAAAGGAAAAAUUCACAAAAAUAGUCACCGAUCAGAACAGACCCUUUUGCAUGCGGAAUAGAAGAGAGAAGCAUGUGACCACCGCUAACUUUGCUUUAUAUAAACAUAUAUAUUGUAAAAGCAUAUAUUAACAACUCUAUUACCAGAAAUUUGUAUUAUUUCGAUUGUUUUAACAAACAAAGACAAACGA
RNA transcript from Durio zibethinus, 2282 nucleotides. It is a transcript of the gene named protein NONRESPONDING TO OXYLIPINS 2, mitochondrial-like, with no coding region annotated. The record is from RefSeq and is a predicted model, not a curated record. NCBI's taxonomy places the organism in Eukaryota, Viridiplantae, Streptophyta, Magnoliopsida, Malvales, Malvaceae.